ACGGUAACAGGAAGCAGCUUGCUGCUUUGCUGACGAGUGGCGGACGGGUGAGUAAUGUCUGGGAAACUGCCUGAUGGAGGGGGAUAACUACUGGAAACGGUAGCUAAUACCGCAUAACGUCGCAAGACCAAAGAGGGGGACCUUCGGGCCUCUUGCCAUCGGAUGUGCCCAGAUGGGAUUAGCUAGUAGGUGGGGUAAAGGCUCACCUAGGCGACGAUCCCUAGCUGGUCUGAGAGGAUGACCAGCCACACUGGAACUGAGACACGGUCCAGACUCCUACGGGAGGCAGCAGUGGGGAAUAUUGCACAAUGGGCGCAAGCCUGAUGCAGCCAUGCCGCGUGUAUGAAGAAGGCCUUCGGGUUGUAAAGUACUUUCAGCGGGGAGGAAGGGAGUAAAGUUAAUACCUUUGCUCAUUGACGUUACCCGCAGAAGAAGCACCGGCUAACUCCGUGCCAGCAGCCGCGGUAAUACGGAGGGUGCAAGCGUUAAUCGGAAUUACUGGGCGUAAAGCGCACGCAGGCGGUUUGUUAAGUCAGAUGUGAAAUCCCCGGGCUCAACCUGGGAACUGCAU
RNAcentral lists this ribosomal RNA (571 nucleotides) under Escherichia coli. RNAcentral's name for it is "bacterial SSU rRNA". It matches the Rfam family "Bacterial small subunit ribosomal RNA", at positions 66 to 626 of the family's 1533-position model. Lineage: Bacteria; Pseudomonadati; Pseudomonadota; Gammaproteobacteria; Enterobacterales; Enterobacteriaceae. The record is from RNAcentral.